Molecule: ribosomal RNA, 2204 nt
Filed under: gut metagenome
Description: bacterial LSU rRNA
Rfam family: Bacterial large subunit ribosomal RNA
Source: RNAcentral
GCGUGAUAGGGUACUUUUUGUAGAACGGUCCGGCGAGCGAUUGUAUGCAGCAAGGUUAAGGACUUAAGGUCUGGAGCCGAAGCGAAAGCGAGUUUGAAAAGGGCGUUAAGUUGCAUAUAAUGGGCCCGAAACCGGGUGACCUACCCAUGGUCAGGUUGAAGUGGAAGUAAAAUUCCAUGGAGGACCGAACCGACCUCCGUUGAAAAGGCGGCGGAUGAACUGUGGGUAGCGGAGAAAUUCCAAUCGAACCCGGAGAUAGCUGGUUCUCCCCGAAAUAGUUUUAGGACUAGCCUCAAGUUAGAUACCUGGAGGUAAAGCACUGAAUAGCCUAGCGGCCGAGAGGUUAGCGAAGCUUAUCAAACUCAGAAUGCCAGAGUAUUGAUGCUUGGGAGUCAGACAGUGUCAGAUAAAUGUCAUUGUCAAAAGGGAAACAGCCCAGAUCUACAGCUAAGGUCCCAAAGUCAGGUUAAGUGGAAAACGAUGUGAAGAUACGUAGACAACCAGGAUGUUGGCUCAGAAGCAGCCACUCAUUCAAAGAGUGCGUAAUAGCUCACUGGUCGAGCGUCUUUGCGCGGAGAAUUUAACGGGGCUAAACCUGACACCGAAGCUUAGGCAGCAUGAUUACAUGCUGGGUAGGGGAGCGUUGUAUACGCGGUGAAACAGUAGCGCAAGCGGCUGUGGAGUGUAUAGAAGUGAGAAUGCCGGAAUGAGUAGCGCGAAUGCAGUGAGAAUCUGCAUGGCCGAAAGCCUCAGGUUUCUGGAGGAAGGUUCGUCCGCUCCAGGUUAGUCGGGAGCUAAGGUGAGGCCUAACGGCGUAGCCGAUGCACAGACGGUAGAGAUUCCGUCACCACCAAAAGAGUUAAACACAGGGACACAUAUGAAGUCUCGGAGCCGGGUGUUGGUUCCGGUAGCGAUCGAGGGAAGUUAGUACCGAAGUCUGAGAUGGAAGAUGGCGAGAAAAGCUGUGUGUAUUUCUGCGGUGCCCGUACCGCAAACCGACACAGGUAGGUAGGAAGAAGAUUCUAAGGCCAACGGGAGAAGGGUUGUUAAGGAACUCGGCAAAUUGACCCCGUAACUUCGGGAGAAGGGGUGCUGCAGCAAUGCAGCCGCAGAGAAUCGGCCCAAGCAACUGUUUACCAAAAACACAGGUUUGUGCUAAAUCGAAAGAUGACGUAUACGAGCUGACGCCUGCCCGGUGCUGGAAGGUUAAGAGGAGAUGUGCAAGCAUUGAAUCGAAGCCCCAGUGAACGGCGGCCGUAACUAUAACGGUCCUAAGGUAGCGAAAUUCCUUGUCAGGUAAGUUCUGACCCGCAUGAAAGGCGUAAUGAUUUGGGCACUGUCUCAACAGCCCGCCCGGCGAAAUUGUAGUACCGGUGAAGAUGCCGGUUACCCGCGACAAGACGGAAAGACCCCAUGGAGCUUUACUGUAGCCUAAUAUUGGGUUUCGAUGUUGCAUGCACAGGAUAGAUGGGACACUGGGAAGCAGGUGCUUUGGCGCUUGUGGAGUGGCCGUUGGGAUACCAUCCUUGCGAUAUUGGAAUUCUAACCUGCGCCUUUGAAUCAAGGCGGGGGACAUUGUUAGGUGGGCAGUUUGACUGGGGCGGUCGCCUCCUAAAGAGUAACGGAGGCGUUCAAAGGUUCGCUCAGCUUGAACGGAAAUCAAGCAAAAGAGUGCAAACGCAGAAGCGAGCCUAACUGCGAGACUGACGGGUCGAGCAGUAACGAAAGUUGGAGUUAGUGAUCCGGUGGUAUGUGAGUGGAAAUGCCAUCGCUCAACGGAUAAAAGUUACCCUGGGGAUAACAGGCUGAUCUCCCCCAAGAGUCCACAUCGACGGGGAGGUUUGGCACCUCGAUGUCGGCUCAUCGCAUCCUGGGGCUGUAUUCGGUCCCAAGGGUUUGGCUGUUCGCCAAUUAAAGCGGUACGCGAGCUGGGUUCAGAACGUCGUGAGACAGUUCGGUCCCUAUCUGUCGUGGGCGCAGGAUAUUUGAUGGGAGCUGUUCCUAGUACGAGAGGACCGGAGCGGACGUACCUCUGGCGCACCAGUUGUUCUGCCAAGAGCAUAGCUGGGCAACUAUGUACGGAUCGGAUAAACGCUGAAAGCAUCUAAGCGUGAAGCCGACCCAAAGAUAAGAUAUCCCAUUGUUUCAAACAAGUAAGACCCCUUGAAGACUACAAGGUUGAUAGGCACGAUGUGUAAGUGGAG